CUCGUAGGCGGUUUGAUAAGUCCUGUGUGAAAUCCCUUGGCUUAACCAAGGAACUGCGCCGGAUACUGUCGAACUAGAGGCCGGGAGAGGGAAGCGGAAUUCCGAGUGUAGCGGUGAAAUGCGUAGAUAUUCGGAGGAACACCGGUGGCGAAGGCGGCCUCCUGGACCGGUUCUGACGCUAAAGGGCGAAAGCUAGGGUAGCAAAC
RNAcentral lists this ribosomal RNA (206 nucleotides) under uncultured bacterium. RNAcentral's name for it is "partial 16S ribosomal RNA". It matches the Rfam family "Bacterial small subunit ribosomal RNA", at positions 568 to 773 of the family's 1533-position model. The record is from RNAcentral.